Molecule: unclassified non-coding RNA, 228 nt
Filed under: uncultured fungus
Lineage: Eukaryota; Fungi
Description: sequence contains ITS1, 5.8S rRNA gene
Rfam family: 5.8S ribosomal RNA (bases 180-228)
Source: RNAcentral
UCUCCGUAGGUGAACCUGCGGAGGGAUCAUUACUGAGUGAGGGUUUAACCGCCCGACCUCCAACCCUUUGUGAAUCGUACUCGUUGCUUCGGGGGCGACCCUGCCGUUUCGAUGGCGAGCGCCCCCGGAGGCCUUCAAACACUGCAUCUUUGCGUCGGAGUAUUAGUAAAUCUAAUCAAAACUUUCAACAAUGGAUCUCUUGGUUCUGGCAUCGAUGAAGAACGCAGC